Equus quagga is the source of this 2848-nucleotide long non-coding RNA. RefSeq lists it as uncharacterized. Lineage: Eukaryota; Metazoa; Chordata; Mammalia; Perissodactyla; Equidae. The transcript has 6 exons. The record is from RefSeq and is a predicted model, not a curated record.
CCAAAGUGACCAGAGGGAGCCUUCAGCACGGAAUCCCAUAUGCUGCCAGGUCCCAGAGUCUGGCUCCUAUUCCCAGUACACAAGACCUAUCAAAACCUGGCUCUAGGCCCCCGGGGACUGGCAGACAUCUUCAGGGCACAGUGCCAAAUGUGUUCAUGAAGACAGUAACAUUCCUCUCAUCAUUUUCUCCAGAACUUUGGUGCUUUGAGUCAAAGGUUGACAUAAAGCUUUCAAAACAAAUGCAUGGAUUGCGGCUAGCUGGACACUGGGCCCUCCGCUGGCACUGUGGUCACUGCUGGCCCCAGUGCCACCAAUGCCACAGGACACUGGAUGCCAUAGCCACCAACUCCACCAGAAGGAGUUCCGAUUAUGUUGUUCAGUCUGGAUUUAGAAGUCUCAGCUAGGAAUAGUGGCAGAAGUAAUUGAGAAGCGAGAAGUAUGAGGAUGGACGGGGAGGGAGCAAACCACUUACCCGGUCAUGGACGAUUUGCCAGGAGCUGGGCCUUUAAUCAUCAGUUUUCUAUUAAUUCCUGGAACCAGACCCUCCCUGGCACAAUGGAUACAAACCAGGACCAACCAGGACCAAUCAGGACCAAUCAGGAAAAGUCUGGAAGGGUCCCAAACUUGGAACUUCUGUGUCCUCUCCACAUGGAACCCAGGGCGCACUCGACCCUCUCAGCGCAUCAAUGUGUUCACCUGCCAGGAAGUUCACCCAAGCCUCAGUGUCCAGAGUUUUUCUUGGGGUUUCAUUACAUAAGCAUGGUUAACUGAAUCCCUGGCCAUGUGAUUGAACUCAGUCUUUCUCAGUUGAACCCACCCCUCUGGACUGAUAUCACGUGGCUCAAAGCCCCAGCUCUCUAAGCACAUGGUUGAUCUUUCUGACAUUGCCAGCCCCCAUCCUGAAUCUAUCUAGGACCCACCAGGAGUCACCUCAGUAGCAUAAACUCAAGUGUGUUCCUGGGGGCCCACUGUGAAUAACAAAUCCCAAGAGUUUAGAAGCUUCAUCCCAGGAAUCCAGGACAAAGACCAGAUCAAUCAUUAUGCAACAAUAUCCCAUAGCAUGGCUGUCACAAGGCUGAAACAUUUAAGCUGGAUCUGACUAAAGGCUAACACUGUGAUGGCUAGAGUUUCCCUUGGAUCCCAACCUGCUGUGAUCUUAGUGACAGCCUAGUGUGCUGUGUGGAGGAUUCUGAAGCCACUUCCAGGAUUAAUUGGAAGGAGGGACAUGAUCAACUAGUCAUGACAGCCCUGGAAUAGAAGGGCAUUGGAAGGGGAGAGUGAGAGUGUGCAUGUGGGGUACUUGCUAACGCUGGGCUAAGGAUUAAAAAAAAAAAGGAAAAACCAUUUGCUGUUUGCUAAUGAAGACUUGCUCUUUAGAACAUGUAAGACCCAUCCCACUUCAGCUCCUGUCCUAAUGCCAUGUAGUGGGUGCCAUGUUUAACCCUUACCACACAAGAGGUCAUGUCUUUUUAUUUCUUCUCCUCAAAAUCUAGACUCAUGAAAGGGAGACUCAGAGAGAGAUGAGCGUGUCUUGGCUGCCCCCUGAAUUCUGGUUUUGAAACUAAGGAAUCAUGUCUACCCCAUGACUGUCCUAGUGAAUACAGGCAUUUUUAGGGGAUAUCAUGUCAACUCACAUGUUGGGUUGAUAGUCAACUGAUACGAACCAUUGGCUAUACCAAUUCUUAAAACAUGGAAACACUUCAUGCUGGUUGGUAAGUGAUGGCUGCCCCCCACUCCUGGAGAGGCCUUCUGCUAUUCUGGCUUUCCUGCCCCUCUCCUGGGACCAGGAGGGCUACAGACAGUGAUUUUCAGAGCUCAGUGCAAAACGAAAAUGCAGGACCAUUUGCUCAAAGUUUAUUAAGAAUUUCAAGAUGGCCACAGCAGAGCAUUCAGCCAAGCACAUCCCUUGACCCCACCAAUGCAGGAGGAGCACAGAGGGUGACCAAGAAAUAAAGCUAUUUUAAGACACUAACGUUGGAGGGUUGACUGUCACUGCAUCAUAACUUGGUGCAUUCUGACUAAUAUGCACCAAUGCCCUACAAGUUCUUACGUAUUUUGACUGUCACCCUGCCCAUGUGAUGGUCUCCUUGACACCCAAACAAGACAACCAGAGUUGUUUUCUUGGAGCCUGGCUUGACUAUUAUCGGAAACUCUCAGAAUUACACAAGGCACAACCAUAUUCCCAAACCCUAUUUUUAACAUAUGAACUUUGCCAGUAUAAUGAAACCAACAUUCAGAUAAAAUAGUAAAAGUGUGUUUUUAUAAACUUGUUUUAAUACGUCACCACAAAAUAGAAGGACUUAUGUUUUCAUUGGAUACUUUUCUUAAGGGAGUGCCAAUUUCCUCUCACUGCUCCUGGAUCUGACUGAGGCAGCUCAAGAAGGAGGAAGUCAGGGGAAACAGUGGGUUUAACUUUUAUUGAUUUGUGUAGUUAAUCUCCUUCCUGACCGAUUGGGUGAGCAGAAGAAAAGAACAAAGAAAGGAGGAAUGCUGGCCUCCCAGCAAAGCUCCUCCACACCCUUUCCAGCCCCUCCCUCUCCUGCUCUACCCCUAGGAGGAGGGGCGCUGAGGAGCGUUCGUCAGCAUCAGCGUCAGUGUUUGGAGGGACUAAAGCGUUCAGGAUUAAAAAAUAAACACAGCCGGAGGUUCAAGGCAGGAAAAAAGGGAAGGGAUGAACAAGCAGAACACAGGAAUUUAGGGCAGUGAAACUAUUCUGUACGGCACUCUAAUAGUGGAUACAUGUCUGUAUAUGUUUGUCAAAACCUAUAGAAUGUACAACAAAGAGUGAUCCCUAAUGUAAACCAUGGGCUUUAAUUAAUAAUAAUGUAUUAAUAUUGGUUCAUCAAUU